Molecule: ribosomal RNA, 379 nt
Filed under: Aphrodes hamiltoni
Lineage: Eukaryota; Metazoa; Arthropoda; Insecta; Hemiptera; Cicadellidae
Description: partial 12S ribosomal RNA
Source: RNAcentral
UAAACCAGGAUUAGAUACCCUAUUAUUUUAGACUUAAAUGUUUAAUUACCUGAAUAUUAAUAGUUAUUUUCUUGAAACUCUAAGAAUUUGGCGGUAAUAUAUUUUUUUAGAGGAACCUGUUUUUUAAUCGAUGAACCACGAUACUUUCUACCUUUUAUAUUUAUUUGUAUACCUCUAUUUAGAAUGUUUUUUUAGGAUAAUUUUCUUUUUCUUUAUAAGUUUAAUUUUAGGUCAAGGUGCAGUUUUUUUUAGGUAAACAUGGGUUAUUUUUUUAAUAAACAACUAGUUAAGUUGUUUUGAAUUUGGAUUUAACAGUAAAUUUAAUUAAUUAAUUAUUUUGAAUAUUUUUUUAUAUUAUGUACAUAUCGCCCGUCACUCU